GAUGAACGCUGGCGGCGUGCCUAAUACAUGCAAGUCGAGCGAACAGACGAGGAGCUUGCUCCUCUGACGUUAGCGGCGGACGGGUGAGUAACACGUGGAUAACCUACCUAUAAGACUGGGAUAACUUCGGGAAACCGGAGCUAAUACCGGAUAAUAUAUUGAACCGCAUGGUUCAAUAGUGAAAGACGGUUUUGCUGUCACUUAUAGAUGGAUCCGCGCCGCAUUAGCUAGUUGGUAAGGUAACGGCUUACCAAGGCAACGAUGCGUAGCCGACCUGAGAGGGGGAUCGGCCACACUGGAACUGAGACACGGUCCAGACUCCUACGGGAGGCAGCAGUAGGGAAUCUUCCGCAAUGGGCGAAAGCUUGACGGAGCAACGCCGCGUGAGUGAUGAAGGUCUUCGGAUCGUAAAACUCUGUUAUUAGGGAAGAACAAAUGGGUAAGUAACUAUGCACGGCUUGACGGUACCUAAUCAGAAAGCCACGGCUAACUACGUG
This 497-nucleotide ribosomal RNA is filed under the name uncultured bacterium. Its description in RNAcentral is "partial 16S ribosomal RNA". It matches the Rfam family "Bacterial small subunit ribosomal RNA", at positions 28 to 507 of the family's 1533-position model. The record is from RNAcentral.